AAAUCCAAACCUGACUGAAAGUAAACUCUUUUUUCGGCGCCUUAAGUUUGAGCCAAUCGGAUGUCAGGAAAAACGAGGAUCAGUCAGCAGAACCAUCCACCAGUCAGCCUUCCACCAGUCAUCCAUCAAACCAGCAAGCAAGAUGUUAGGUGGAUUAAGAGGGACAGUGAUGGAAACAUUAUUUAUGGCAGGCCCAGAUCAUCCCGAAAACAAGCAGCAGGUCCCAGUCACAGCCAGAGUCGGAAGACCGGUGUCUCUCAUGUCAGGGCUCCAGAAGCCAGUGGGGAAGUGACCAGGGACUUUCCUUCCAUUACUGCGGGGUCCUUCCUUCAAGAGCUUAAACGCUCACUGGGUGAGGACAUACAUGAGGAAAAACG
Sander lucioperca (pikeperch) is the source of this 377-nucleotide long non-coding RNA. RefSeq lists it as uncharacterized. The transcript has 3 exons. NCBI's taxonomy places the organism in Eukaryota, Metazoa, Chordata, Actinopteri, Perciformes, Percidae. The record is from RefSeq and is a predicted model, not a curated record.